RNAcentral lists this ribosomal RNA (460 nucleotides) under uncultured bacterium. RNAcentral's name for it is "bacterial SSU rRNA". It matches the Rfam family "Bacterial small subunit ribosomal RNA", at positions 8 to 502 of the family's 1533-position model. The record is from RNAcentral.
AGAGUUUGAUCCUGGCUCAGGGUGAACGCUGGCGGCGUGCUUAACACAUGCAAGUCGAACGCACCUUCGGGUGAGUGGCAAACGGGUGAGUAAUGCAUAAAUAAUCUGCCCUUAAGUCCGAGAUAACUCUUCGAAAGGAGAGCUAAUACCGGAUACGUUCUUUUUAUCGCAUGAUUUAAAGAAGAAAGAUUUAUCGCUUAAGGAGGAGUUUAUGUCUGAUUAGCUUGUUGGUAGGGUAAUGGCCUACCAAGGCGAUGAUCAGUAGCUGGUCUGAGAGGAUGGUCAGCCACACUGGGACUGAGAUACGGCCCAGACUCCUACGGGAGGCAGCAGUGGGGAAUAUUGCGCAAUGGGCGAAAGCCUGACGCAGCGACGCCGCGUGAAUGACGAAGUCUUUCGGGAUGUAAAGUUCUGUCAAGAGGGACGAUUAUGACGUACCUCUAAAGAAGCUCCGCUAACU